CAAUAGCGUAUAUUAAAGUUGUUGCAGUUAAAAAGCUCGUAGUCUGAUUUCUGUCGAGGAAGUCCAGUCCGCCCUCAGGGUGUGUACUUGGUUACGUCCUUGACAUCUUUCUGGGGAACGCAGUGUCCUUCACAGGAUGUUGUGGAACCUAGAACCUUUACUUUGAGGAAAUUAGAGUGUUCAAAGCAGGUCUCGCCUUGAAUACGUUAGCAUGGAAUAAUAAGAUAGGACUUUGGUUCAAUUUUGUUGGUUUCUUGAGCUGAAGUAAUGAUUAAUAGGGAUAGUUGGGGGCAUUCGUAUUUAACUGUCAGAGGUGAAAUUCUUGGAUUUGUUAAAGACGAACUACUGCGAAAGCAUUUGCCAAGGAUGUUUNCAUUGA
This 379-nucleotide ribosomal RNA is filed under the name uncultured eukaryote. RNAcentral's name for it is "partial 18S ribosomal RNA". It matches the Rfam family "Eukaryotic small subunit ribosomal RNA", at positions 592 to 976 of the family's 1831-position model. The record is from RNAcentral.